Molecule: ribosomal RNA, 213 nt
Filed under: uncultured bacterium
Lineage: Bacteria
Description: partial 16S ribosomal RNA
Rfam family: Bacterial small subunit ribosomal RNA
Source: RNAcentral
GCCUGAACGACUGGCGGGCGGUGGCUAAGACAUGCAAGUCGCACGGUGUAGCAAUACACAGUGGCGAACGGGUGAGUAAUGAAUCGCUAAUGUGCCCCGGACUCUGAGAUAGCUGCCCGAAAGGGCAGGUAAUAUCAGAUGAUAUAACUUUUCCGCAUGGAAGAGUUCUCAAAGGUCCGCCGGUCUGGGAGCAGGCGAUUUCGUAUCAGCUAG